UACGAAGGGGGCUAGCGUUGCUCGGAAUCACUGGGCGUAAAGCGCACGUAGGCGGAUCGUUAAGUCGGGGGUGAAAUCCCAGGGCUCAACCCUGGAACUGCCUUCGAUACUGGCGAUCUUCGAGUCCGGGAGAGGUGAGUGGAACUCCGAGUGUAGAGGUGAAAUUCGUAGAUAUUCGGAAGAACACCAGUGGCGAAGGCGGCUCACUGGCCCGGUACUGACGCUGAGGUGCGACAGCGUGGGGAGCAAACAGG
Molecule: ribosomal RNA, 254 nt
Filed under: uncultured bacterium
Lineage: Bacteria
Description: partial 16S ribosomal RNA
Rfam family: Bacterial small subunit ribosomal RNA
Source: RNAcentral